AAUCUUCCACAAGGGACGAAAGUCUGAUGGAGCAACGCCGCGUGAGUGAAGAAGGUUCUCGGAUCGUAAAUCUCUGUUGUUAGGGAAGAACAAGUACAGGAUGAACUGUCUGUACCUUGACGGUACCUUACCAGAAAGCCGCGGCUAACUACGUGCCAGCCGCCGCGGUAAUACGUAGGGGGCAAGCGUUGUCCGGAAUUAUUGGGCGUAAAGCGCGCGCAGGCGGUCCUUUAAGUCUGAUGUGAAAGCCCACGGCUCAACCGUGGAGGGUCAUUGGAAACUGGAGGACUUGAGUACAGAGGAGGAAAGCGGAAUUCAACGUGUAGCGGUGAAAUGCGUAGAGAUGUGGAGGAACACCAGUGGCGAAGGCGGCUUUCUGGUCUGUAACUGACGCUGAGGCGCGAAAGCGUGGGGAGCAAACA
RNAcentral lists this ribosomal RNA (422 nucleotides) under uncultured bacterium. RNAcentral's name for it is "partial 16S ribosomal RNA". It matches the Rfam family "Bacterial small subunit ribosomal RNA", at positions 360 to 774 of the family's 1533-position model. The record is from RNAcentral.